This 637-nucleotide ribosomal RNA is filed under the name uncultured Actinomycetes bacterium. Its description in RNAcentral is "bacterial SSU rRNA". It matches the Rfam family "Bacterial small subunit ribosomal RNA", at positions 232 to 883 of the family's 1533-position model. Lineage: Bacteria; Bacillati; Actinomycetota; Actinomycetes. The record is from RNAcentral.
CGCGGCCUAUCAGCUUGUUGGUGAGGUAACGGCUCACCAAGGCAUCGACGGGUAGCUGGUCUGAGAGGACGAUCAGCCACACUGGGACUGAGACACGGCCCAGACUCCUGCGGGAGGCAGCAGUGGGGAAUCUUGCGCAAUGGGCGAAAGCCUGACGCAGCAACGCCGCGUGGGGGAUGAAGGCUCUCGGGUUGUAAACCCCUUUCAGCAGGGACGAAAUUGACGGUACCUGCAGAAGAAGCCCCGGCCAACUACGUGCCAGCAGCCGCGGUGACACGUAGGGGGCGAGCGUUGUCCGGAAUUAUUGGGCGUAAAGAGCUCGUAGGCGGUUUAGUAAGUCAGAUGUGAAAGGUUGGGGCUCAACCCUAAGACUGCAUCCGAUACUGCUAUGACUAGAGUCCGGUAGAGGAGUGUGGAAUUCCUGGUGUAGCGGUGAAAUGCGCAGAUAUCAGGAGGAACACCGACGGCGAAGGCAGCACUCUGGGCCGGUACUGACGCUCAGGAGCGAAAGCGUGGGUAGCAAACAGGAUUAGAUACCCUGGUAGUCCACGCCGUAAACGUUGGGCACUAGGUGUGGGGCCUUAUCAACGGGUUCCGUGCCGUAGCUAACGCAUUAAGUGCCCCGCCUGGGGAGUAC